GAUGAACGCUGGCGGCGUGCCUAAUACAUGCAAGUCGAGCGAACGGACGAGAAGCUUGCUUUUCUGAUGUUAGCGGCGGACGGGUGAGUAACACGUGGAUAACCUACCUAUAAGACUGGGAUAACUUCGGGAAAACGGAGCUAAUACCGGAUAAUAUUUUGAACCGCAUGGUUCAAAAGUGAAAGACGGUCUUGCUGUCACUUAUAGAUGGAUCCGCGCUGCAUUAGCUAGUUGGUAAGGUAACGGCUUGCCAAGGCAACGAUGCAUAGCCGACCUGAGAGGGUGAUCGGCCACACUGGAACUGAGACACGGUCCAGACUCCUACGGGAGGCAGCAGUAGGGAAUCUUCCGCAAUGGGCGAAAGCCUGACGGAGCAACGCCGCGUGAGUGAUGAAGGUCUUCGGAUCGUAAAACUCUGUUAUUAGGGAAGAACAUAUGUGUAAGUAACUGUGCACAUCUUGACGGUACCUAAUCAGAAAGCCACGGCUAACUACGUG
Molecule: ribosomal RNA, 497 nt
Filed under: uncultured bacterium
Lineage: Bacteria
Description: partial 16S ribosomal RNA
Rfam family: Bacterial small subunit ribosomal RNA
Source: RNAcentral